GCCAACAGAUUUACCGCGCGUAGGAAUGCCGGGUUUCAUGGCUCAAUCUCUUGAGUGCUUCAUGUGUUGUCGCAUCCUUUAAGGCGGGAAAGGAUUUUCCAUGAGUAAUUAGAGCAUUAUCCCACGUACCUCGUCAACCAGCAAACAUAGCCGGCACCUGCCCGAACGGGGCGCGCUUGGGGUACGAAGGAUUAUGCGAAGUGCUCUGGGCCGAUAACCGGCGAGAUGAUGCCCACCGUGCCACACGCUCAUGCGCUUCUUCAGAUAUUAAUCCUAAAAAAAGCCUAAUAAGACUCGGCUCAUCGUU
This 307-nucleotide long non-coding RNA is filed under the name Volvox carteri. RNAcentral's name for it is "long non-coding RNA (VCAR_LNC002139)". The record is from RNAcentral. Lineage: Eukaryota; Viridiplantae; Chlorophyta; Chlorophyceae; Chlamydomonadales; Volvocaceae.